RNAcentral lists this ribosomal RNA (584 nucleotides) under Lytocarpia phyteuma. RNAcentral's name for it is "partial large subunit ribosomal RNA". It matches the Rfam family "Bacterial large subunit ribosomal RNA", at positions 1807 to 2577 of the family's 2925-position model. The record is from RNAcentral. Lineage: Eukaryota; Metazoa; Cnidaria; Hydrozoa; Leptothecata; Aglaopheniidae.
CCAAAAACAUAGCCCUUAAAAAAAUUAAAGGUGAAACCUGCCCAAUGAUUUAAUAAUUUACACUUAAAAGAUAAAUAAAAAAUUAAAUGGCUGCAGUAACCAUGACUGUAAAAAUGUAGCAUAAUAAUUCGCCACUUAAUUAGUGGAUAGUAUGAAUGGUUAAACGAAAAUUCCACUGUCUUAUAAAAUACAAUAAAAAAUUUAAAUCAUAGUUAAGAUGCUAUGUAAAACUGUAAGACGAAAAGACCCUAUAAAGCUUAACUAUAAAUCUUAACAUUUUAAUAUUAAAACUAAUAAAAAUCAUUAAGAUUUGGUAGUUUCAUUGGGGCGAUGAUCUCUAAAAAUAAACAGAGAUAAACUAAUUUAAUAAUAAAAUUUACUGUAUAAUUAAUAAAUUUAACAGUUACAAAGUAGGGUAUAAUGACCCAUUAUUUUAAUUAAAAAAAAAAUAAUGAACAAUAAAUAAAAGCUACUUUAGGGAUAACAGGAUAAUAAUUUCUUAGAGACCCAAUCGAAGAAAAAGUUUAUCACCUCGAUGUUGAAUUAAGAUAACCUAAUGACGCAGCAGUAAUUAAAGGUAGGUC